This 458-nucleotide ribosomal RNA is filed under the name uncultured bacterium. RNAcentral's name for it is "bacterial SSU rRNA". It matches the Rfam family "Bacterial small subunit ribosomal RNA", at positions 8 to 468 of the family's 1533-position model. The record is from RNAcentral.
AGAGUUUGAUCCUGGCUCAGAUUGAACGCUGGCGGCAUGCCUUACACAUGCAAGUCGAACGGUAACAGCACUUCGGUGGCUGACGAGUGGCGAACGGGUGAGCAAUACAUCGGAACGUGCCCGAGAGUGGGGGAUAACGCAGCGAAAGCUGUGCUAAUACCGCAUACGAUCUACGGAUGAAAGCAGGGGACCGCAAGGCCUUGCGCUCACGGAGCGGCCGAUGGCAGAUUAGGUAGUUGGUGGGAUAAAAGCUUACCAAGCCGACGAUCUGUAGCUGGUCUGAGAGGACGACCAGCCACACUGGGACUGAGACACGGCCCAGACUCCUACGGGAGGCAGCAGUGGGGAAUUUUGGACAAUGGGCGAAAGCCUGAUCCAGCCAUGCCGCGUGCAGGAUGAAGGCCUUCGGGUUGUAAACUGCUUUUGUACGGAACGAAAAGGUCUUUUCUAAUAAAGAA